CUGCCGGUUGAGUUGGUGGUGGUGGUGGAGGAGUGGCGGGUGUUGGUUGCUCCGGUGGGGAUUGCUGCUCGGCUUGGCAGCUGACGCGCAUGGGCUGCCGGCGUGGAAGCAAGAAUGUGGGAGUAGAGAGGGCUUUGGAAGCACGGCGAGGAGCGAAAGCUGCGGUGGCGGCGUAUGAUGAUAAACUCAUUGUGGCUGAAGCUGCCAUGGUGAG
This 214-nucleotide unclassified non-coding RNA is filed under the name Hevea brasiliensis (rubber tree). The record is from RNAcentral. Lineage: Eukaryota; Viridiplantae; Streptophyta; Magnoliopsida; Malpighiales; Euphorbiaceae.